This is a transfer RNA of Camelus ferus (Wild Bactrian camel), 72 nucleotides long. It matches the Rfam family "tRNA". Rfam says of the family: Transfer RNA (tRNA) molecules are approximately 80 nucleotides in length. Their secondary structure includes four short double-helical elements and three loops (D, anti-codon, and T loops). Further hydrogen bonds mediate the characteristic L-shaped molecular structure. tRNAs have two regions of fundamental functional importance: the anti-codon, which is responsible for specific mRNA codon recognition, and the 3' end, to which the tRNAs corresponding amino acid is attached (by aminoacyl-tRNA synthetases). tRNAs cope with the degeneracy of the genetic code in two manners: having more than one tRNA (with a specific anti-codon) for a particular amino acid; and 'wobble' base-pairing, i.e. permitting non-standard base-pairing at the 3rd anti-codon position. NCBI's taxonomy places the organism in Eukaryota, Metazoa, Chordata, Mammalia, Artiodactyla, Camelidae. The record is from Rfam.
GAGGGUAUAGCCCAAUGGUAGAGUGUGUACUUGGCAUGUCCAAGGUCCUGGGUUCAAUCCCCAGUACCUCCA